RNAcentral lists this ribosomal RNA (844 nucleotides) under uncultured bacterium. RNAcentral describes it as "bacterial SSU rRNA". It matches the Rfam family "Bacterial small subunit ribosomal RNA", at positions 8 to 812 of the family's 1533-position model. The record is from RNAcentral.
AGAGUUUGAUCCUGGCUCAGGACGAACCCUGGCGGCGUGCCUAAUACAUGCAAGUCGAGCGAGCUUGCCUAGAUGAUUUUAGUGCUUGCACUAAAUGAAACUAGAUACAAGCGAGCGGCGGACGGGUGAGUAACACGUGGGUAACCUGCCCAAGAGACUGGGAUAACACCUGGAAACAGAUGCUAAUACCGGAUAACAACACUAGACGCAUGUCUAGAGUUUGAAAGAUGGUUCUGCUAUCACUCUUGGAUGGACCUGCGGUGCAUUAGCUAGUUGGUAAGGUAACGGCUUACCAAGGCAAUGAUGCAUAGCCGAGUUGAGAGACUGAUCGGCCACAUUGGGACUGAGACACGGCCCAAACUCCUACGGGAGGCAGCAGUAGGGAAUCUUCCACAAUGGACGAAAGUCUGAUGGAGCAACGCCGCGUGAGUGAAGAAGGGUUUCGGCUCGUAAAGCUCUGUUGGUAGUGAAGAAAGAUAGAGGUAGUAACUGGCCUUUAUUUGACGGUAAUUACUUAGAAAGUCACGGCUAACUACGUGCCAGCAGCCGCGGUAAUACGUAGGUGGCAAGCGUUGUCCGGAUUUAUUGGGCGUAAAGCGAGUGCAGGCGGUUCAAUAAGUCUGAUGUGAAAGCCUUCGGCUCAACCGGAGAAUUGCAUCAGAAACUGUUGAACUUGAGUGCAGAAGAGGAGAGUGGAACUCCAUGUGUAGCGGUGGAAUGCGUAGAUAUAUGGAAGAACACCAGUGGCGAAGGCGGCUCUCUGGUCUGCAACUGACGCUGAGGCUCGAAAGCAUGGGUAGCGAACAGGAUUAGAUACCCUGGUAGUCCAUGCCGUAAACGAUGA